CGUGGAGACAGGUGGUGCAUGGCUGUCGUCAGCUCGUGUCGUGAGAUGUUGGGUUAAGUCCCGCAACGAGCGCAACCCUCACCCCUUGUUGCCAUCGGGUCACGCUGGGCACUCUAGGGGAACUGCCCCGGUCAACGGGGAGGAAGGUGGGGACGACGUCAAGUCAUCAUGCCCCUUACGCCCUGGGCUACACACGUGCUACAAUGGCCGGUACAAAGGGAUGCAAGACCGUGAGGUGGAGCUAAACCCAAAAAGCCGGUCUAAGUUCAGAUUGGAGUCUGCAACUCGACUCCAUGAAGGAGGAAUCGCUAGUAAUCGCGCAUCAGCACGGCGCGGUGAAUACGUUCCCGGGCCUUGUACACACCGCCCGUCACACCACGAAAGCCAGCUGUACUCGAAGUCGCUGAG
RNAcentral lists this ribosomal RNA (408 nucleotides) under uncultured Methylomirabilota bacterium. RNAcentral describes it as "bacterial SSU rRNA". It matches the Rfam family "Bacterial small subunit ribosomal RNA", at positions 1027 to 1434 of the family's 1533-position model. Lineage: Bacteria; Methylomirabilota (SeqCode). The record is from RNAcentral.